RNAcentral lists this transfer RNA (82 nucleotides) under Xylaria intraflava. RNAcentral's name for it is "tRNA-Glu". It matches the Rfam family "tRNA". Rfam says of the family: Transfer RNA (tRNA) molecules are approximately 80 nucleotides in length. Their secondary structure includes four short double-helical elements and three loops (D, anti-codon, and T loops). Lineage: Eukaryota; Fungi; Ascomycota; Sordariomycetes; Xylariales; Xylariaceae. The record is from RNAcentral.
UCCGAAUUGGUGUAGUGGCUAACAUUUGACGCUCUCAUUCCGAUGAUCCGUCAAGCCCGGGGUUCGAUUCCCCGAUUCGGAG